Molecule: long non-coding RNA, 1555 nt
Organism: Bubalus bubalis (water buffalo)
Lineage: Eukaryota; Metazoa; Chordata; Mammalia; Artiodactyla; Bovidae
Exons: 3
Source: RefSeq, a predicted model, not a curated record
AUGUACACCCAUGGCUGAUUCGUGUCAAUGUAUGGCAAAAACCACUACACUAUUGUAAAGUAAUUAGCCUCCAAUUAAAAUAAGUAAAUUUUUUAAAAAAAGAGCUAAGGACUUUGAGGGGCCAUGCUGGGAGUAAGUACACAGAAUGAAUCCAAGUGAGUCAGUGAGAGGUUGUCUAAAGGAGGAGGCUCUGUCCUCAGUCAGCAAGCUCCAAAACACACUUUCCUUCCUUUUCCACCACGGUUGCCUAAAACGGAUGGUUACUGUGUAGAUUAACAUAAAAGCAUACGUCAGCGAAGUAUUCAGAGUUAGAUGUUAGCUCUUUUCCUGGCCAUUUUCUUAGCUAUUUUAAGUGGACAUUUAUACAACAAACAGGUCCGGAUUUGGCUCAUGUUGAAGAAAUUAAAUUUACUACCCGCUCUUCCCCCGGUGCUCUCAGGCCUAGGACAACUUCCUCAUCACGAGAUAGGGGACCCCAGGCUUCUUUCCAAGCCCUACCGCCUCCCCGCCUCCCUAGCCUCCUAGGUGCACCCACCUGUCCCUGUUCCUGCCCUGAUGACGUCACAAGUGUGGACGGGGUGGGGGUUGGACAACCAGGUGAAGGAGGGGAGCACUCACGCCCCUGCCUGGCUCCUGAGCUAGGACCCCCUUAUCCCGCCCUCAGACUGGGCCGACAUCACCCGUGCUCCUGGUCCUCAGGUCUCUGCACUCAAACUGAAACCAGGUGGCCAGCUUCCCUGAGUCUCAGCUGCAGACAUCAGGAGGUGAGGAUUCUCAGUCUUCACGAGGAGCGCUAGACAGUUUCAGUAAUAAAUCUCUCCCUAUUAUAGUGUACGUCUAUCCCAUCGCCUCUGGUUCUCUGGAGAACUCUUGACUCAUGCACUGCUUUAGUCUACUGUCCUUUUUCUUUGAUAUUCAGCCCCGUUUUCACUCUUUUUCUUUCUCAAAUCGGGGUACAACAUGCCAGGGACUGGACGAGACAGGCUGGUCCAAGGUGAUGCCCAGUGAGUCACGUGUUUGGGAAUACCUAGGGGUGUUGCUCCUGAGACUGGAUUAUCUUAUGUGGCAGAGGUGACAAGAGCCUCUGAUGUCAUUUAAAAAUAACAGUAGCAAUUAAUUGAUUUAAUCAAAAGGGGGUUGUCCCAGGUGGGCCUAACCUAAUCAGUGGAGCCCUUUAAAACAGUGUUUCAAGGUCAGAGACCCGAAACAGCUGAGUCUCUUGUGGUUUUGAAGAAGCAAGCUGCAGGUGGAGGGGCUGAUGGUGGCCUCCUGGAGCUGAAGGCCGCACCGUUGGGAACUGAACUUGGCCAGUGACUAGUGACCGGGCUUUCUGUCAAUAAGCACUUGGUUCCAGUUCUGAAAGGGGAUCUUCCAGAACCAGGGAUUGAACCCACAUCUUCUGCAUCGGCAGACGGAUUCCAUACCGCUGAGUCACCAGGGAACCUCCCUGCCCAAAGACCAACAUCCUGAUUUUUUUACUCCAGGUGUGUCGUCCGGUGCCUGAUGACAGCUGACUUCUGGCUGAAGCCUUUCCCGCACUCCUGGCACACGUAGG